UGGGGGAUAUUGCACAAUGGGCGAAAGCCUGAUGCAGCGACGCCGCGUGGGGGAUGAAGGCCUUCGGGUUGUAAACUUCUUUUGCUCUGAACAAGGCGCACCAUGGGGUGUGUUGAGUGUAGGGGUUGAUUAGCGCCGGCUAACUACGUGCCAGCAGCCGCGGUAAUACGUAGGGCGCGAGCGUUGUCCGGAAUUAUUGGGCGUAAAGGGCUUGUAGGUGGCUGGUUGCGUCUGUCGUGAAAGCUCAUGGCUUAACUGUGGGUUUGCGGUGGGUACGGGCUGGCUUGAGAGCAGUAGGGGAGGCUGGAAUUCCUGGUGUAGCGGUGGAAUGCGCAGAUAUCAGGAGGAAUACCGGUGGCGAAGGCGGGUCUCUGGGCUGUUACUGACACUGAGGAGCGAAAGCAUGGGGGGCGAACAGG
RNAcentral lists this ribosomal RNA (419 nucleotides) under bacterium. RNAcentral describes it as "partial 16S ribosomal RNA". It matches the Rfam family "Bacterial small subunit ribosomal RNA", at positions 355 to 776 of the family's 1533-position model. The record is from RNAcentral.